Small nuclear RNA from Mustela putorius furo (domestic ferret), 93 nucleotides. The record is from Ensembl. Lineage: Eukaryota; Metazoa; Chordata; Mammalia; Carnivora; Mustelidae.
GCGCUUGCUUCGGCAGUGCUAAAAUUGGAACAAUACAGAGAAGAUUAGCAUGGCCUCUGUGUAAGGAUGACUCAUGAAACAUUCCAUUAGAAA